AGCAGUAGCCACGGUAAUACGAAGGGGGCUAGCGUUGUUCGGAAUUACUGGGCGUAAAGCGCACGUAGGCGGAUAUUUAAGUCAGGGGUGAAAUCCCAGAGCUCAACUCUGGAACUGCCUUUGAUACUGGGUAUCUUGAGUAUGGAAGAGGUGAGUGGAAUUCCGAGUGUAGAGGUGAAAUUCGUAGAUAUUCGGAGGAACACCAGUGGCGAAGGCGGCUCACUGGUCCAUUACUGACGCUCAUGCACGAAAGCGUGGGGAGCAAACAGGAUUAGAUACCCGAGUAGUCCCUGUCUCUUAUAC
Molecule: ribosomal RNA, 303 nt
Filed under: uncultured bacterium
Lineage: Bacteria
Description: partial 16S ribosomal RNA
Rfam family: Bacterial small subunit ribosomal RNA
Source: RNAcentral